UCACAAUCAACAAAAUUAUUUACCGGUAUUUUUGUGAAAUUUCAGUUCUAUAGGUUAUCAAUUAGAGAAAUUUUGGUUUGCAUAUCAGUGGUCCAAGUGAAUUAGAAAUAGUUCCGAGUUGUGUGUGGUUUUUUGUUUUAAUAGUCUAUAGAAAUAGAAGGACUUCCGAAUCCAACCAUGUAGUAUGGAAUGUUGUUGAGAUAUGGUUUUGGUCAAUGGAUGUUAAUGAAGGACCUGUAGUACAAAGUAUAUCACUGG
Long non-coding RNA from Mytilus trossulus (common blue mussel), 258 nucleotides. RefSeq lists it as uncharacterized. The record is from RefSeq and is a predicted model, not a curated record. NCBI's taxonomy places the organism in Eukaryota, Metazoa, Mollusca, Bivalvia, Mytilida, Mytilidae. The transcript is spliced from 3 exons.